This 466-nucleotide ribosomal RNA is filed under the name uncultured Desulfosporosinus sp. RNAcentral's name for it is "bacterial SSU rRNA". It matches the Rfam family "Bacterial small subunit ribosomal RNA", at positions 920 to 1382 of the family's 1533-position model. Lineage: Bacteria; Bacillati; Bacillota; Clostridia; Eubacteriales; Desulfitobacteriaceae. The record is from RNAcentral.
CCCGCACAAGCGGUGGAGCAUGUGGUUUAAUUCGACGCAACGCGAAGAACCUUACCAGGGCUUGACAUCUACAGAAUCGGGAGGAAACUUUCGAGUGCCCUUCGGGGAACUGUAAGACAGGUGGUGCAUGGUUGUCGUCAGCUCGUGUCGUGAGAUGUUGGGUUAAGUCCCGCAACGAGCGCAACCCCUAUGUUUAGUUGCUAGCGAGUAAGGUCGAGCACUCUAGACAGACUGCCGGUGAUAAACCGGAGGAAGGCGGGGAUGACGUCAAGUCCUCAUGGCCCUUACAUCCCGGGCUACACACGUGCUACAAUGGCAGGUACAGAGGGCUGCGAAGCCGCGAGGUGGAGCGAAUCCCAGAAAACCUGUCUCAGUCCGGAUUGAAGUCUGCAACUCGACUUCAUGAAGGCGGAAUCGCUAGUAACCGCGAAUCAGCAGGUCGCGGUCGAAUACGUUCCCGGGCCUU